GACCCAUUGACGGCAUUCCUCCAGGCUCCCGGAUGUUCUUGUCGGGUUUACCUUCAUCUUUACCCCACUGCCUCUUGGAAACAGCCCCACGUGUGUAUGAAACUGCUGGCCUAGAAGAGAAGAAAGUGUAGCAGGCUUUGGUGAGAAAUCCGGAAGAAAGAAUGUGUGAAAGAAAAAGAUGACAACUAUGCAUGGCAAACAAAAUCCAAAGAUUAUUACAGUGAAAGCAAGAGGAAGUCAGAAGAAUACCUACUAGUAAAGGUGUCGUUACAAAAGAGAGGCAACAGGAAAUGAAAGAGACACACAGAAGAGAAAGCAAUGUGAAGACAGAGGUGGAGGUUAGAGUGACGUGGCCACAAGUCAAGACAUGCUGGCAGGCACCAGGAGCUGGAAGAUGCCAGAAUGGAUUCUAUCCUAGAGUCUCUGCAGAGAGUGUGGCCCUGCUGAUGCUUGAUUUCAGCUGAGAGAAACUGAAUUUGAACUUCUGACUUCCUGAACCUUAAGAGAAGAAAAGGUUGAUGUGUUAAGCUGCUCAUUCUGUGGUAAUUUUUUUUUUAAUUUUUUUAAUGUUUAUUUAUUAUUGAGAGACAGAGAGAGACAGAGCAUGAGCAGGGGAGGGGCAGAGAAAGGAGGAGACAGAAUCCGAAGUAGCCUC
Long non-coding RNA from Felis catus (domestic cat), 655 nucleotides. RefSeq lists it as uncharacterized. The transcript has 3 exons. NCBI's taxonomy places the organism in Eukaryota, Metazoa, Chordata, Mammalia, Carnivora, Felidae. The record is from RefSeq and is a predicted model, not a curated record.